Molecule: ribosomal RNA, 440 nt
Filed under: uncultured bacterium
Lineage: Bacteria
Description: partial 16S ribosomal RNA
Rfam family: Bacterial small subunit ribosomal RNA
Source: RNAcentral
CCUACGGGAGGCUGCAGUGGGGAAUAUUGCACAAUGGGGGGAACCCUGAUGCAGCGACGCCGCGUGGGUGAGGAAGUCCUUCGGUAUGUAAAGCCCUAUCAGCAGGGAAGAAAAUGACGGUACCUGACUAAGAAUCCCCGGCUAACUACGAGCCAGCAGCCGCGGUAAGACGUAGGGGGCAAGCGUUAUCCGGCUUUACUGGGUGUAAAGGGAGCGUAGACGGCGGGGCAAGUCUGGUGUGAAAGGCCGGGGCUCAACCCCGGGACUGCAUUGGAAACUGGCAUGCUGGAGUGCCGGAGGGGCAAGCGGAAGUCCUAGUGUAGCGGUGAAAUGCGUAGAUAUUAGGAGGAACACCAGUGGCGAAGGCGGCUUGCUGGACGGUAACUGACGUUGAGGCGCGAAAGCGUGGGGAGCAAACAGGAUUAGAUACCCGAGUAGUC